Molecule: non-coding RNA, 521 nt
Organism: Dipodomys spectabilis (banner-tailed kangaroo rat)
Lineage: Eukaryota; Metazoa; Chordata; Mammalia; Rodentia; Heteromyidae
Source: the annotation of a RefSeq genome assembly
CUCUUUCUGUCUCUCUGUCUCCCCGCACCCCUCUCUCUCUUUCUCAGACCUGUGCCCUCAGUAGGGAGAUGAUGCCUGGGGCUGCUCCCCUGGACUCUGCCCCAGGCCCCAGGCUCCUCUGUGGUGUUGUCCUGUGUCUCCUGGGAGCAGGUGUGGUGCAUGCUGGGGUCCUCCAGUCCCCCAGACACCUGAUCAAAGCCAAGGGAGGAAAGGCCACUCUGCAGUGCUCUCCUGACUCUGGACAUGAUGCUGUGUACUGGUACCAGCAGGCCGAGGACCAGAGCCUCCAGUUCCUCAUUUCCUAUUAUCGAGAGUCAGAGAGAGAGAAAGGAAGCAUCCCUGGCCACUUCUCAGCUCGGCAGUUCAGUGACUAUCACUCUGAGCUGAACAUGAGCGCCUUGGAGCUGAGGGACUCCGCGCUGUAUCUGUGUGCCAGCAGCUUGCACAGCCCUGCACAGGGACUGGCUUUCUCUACCCAAACCUUCCUGCCCCAGCUGAGGAUGUCAUUGGGGGGGUGGUGA